CGAGGCAUCCCCGAUCCAUCCAGCAUCUUCUCGCGCAGUCUUCUUCGACCCGCUGCCACAGUCCCGGCGCCCCAGGCCCUGCGCAGAUGAAGACCCUCCCCCGGACGGCUUUGCGGGCCCUGCCUCAGCCGGCGCCCCCUUCUCUCCUGCAGGACCCGGACCCGCGCUGCAGGGGCUGAGUGCCCCCUGGGUCGGCGUCUGAGUCUUGCCUCCCCGUAGGCUCAGUACCUGGCACGUGUCCAAGGCUCAGCAGCUGUACCACAACCACCCAACAGGAGAGAAGGAAAGGAGAGGUGCACCCCGGGGAUGUGGUGAGGCCAUCCCGUCAUGGGGAAUCAGAAAAGGACUGCGUCUUAGCCAGCCAGCUGGGGGAAGGUGGGGGUACCUCUUGUGUUUCCUUUUCUUGGAAUUAUUCUCCCUGGUGACCGGUAUAUAUCCAUUUGAGGCCCCUUGGCAUGAGAUAGAGCCCAGGUCACCAGGGGAGACUUAAAUAGACACCAGACCUCACCUCGAAGGCGACCUAAGGUGCUCCUGCCCCUUUGCCCUCCCCGUCCAGACCAGGCACUGCCUGUCAGGUGCUGCACGCUCCCAAACCUGUCCUGGAUUUUCCAUCCUCUUCAAGAUUCACCUUCCCAAACCUAUACCAUGUCAUCCGAGACGCACAAAAGCUGAUCUGAAAAGUCUUCUCUGCCUCAGAUGCAGAUGAAUUGUCAUCCCGUGGAGGGUAGUCAGUUUCCUUCCUGCUCACAAGAAGAUGGUGUGGCUCAUGGGAUGGUAACGACAGCCCCCAUUCAUGAAGUGGCUAGCUGUUGUACCAGAUAUGUAGAUAAGUUGCCUGGGCUUCUCGGGACAUGUGACCAGGUGGCAUCUGGGUUGCUCACCCAGGGCUUCUUGAUUGUUGCAGAGGAGGCAGCACCGGGCAGAGGGGCCCUUGAGAGAUGUCACCAUCCUGUUAAGAAAGGGCUGGACCACAGCGCUGCAGAGGUGAGCUCUGUUCAUUGGAGGUCUGGGGCUUGGCAUCCCGCAAGUGCCCACAGUUCCCCUGGUGUGAUGUUCUCUGGGAAGUAGGUAGAGGAGUGACGAGGGUGGCUUCGUCCUGGCCUUCUCUGGGGCCUUCAAGAACACACCUGGUUUCUAUUUAUGCCCUUGAUUCUGAGAGCUCUUCCUCAAAUGUUGGCAGCAGAACGUGUGAGUUGAAGCAGGGAAGGGAGUUUGGCAUAUCCACCUGUACGUGGGUCUCCGUCACUUCUCUGCCGCCUCCUAGCUUUGGGACCUUCUCUUACCUCUGGUUUCACCCUCUGGAAAGCAGGACUCAAAUGAGGCUAUUUGUCUUCAGAUCACAUGGCAUCUGUCUUUUACAACCUGAGACCUCUUUCACUUUUCCUUCGGAGGCCUCUCCUGUCUGGGCCACGGGGAAGGCUUUGUGCAGGACUGGAAGCAGUUGCUGGGUCCUUGGGCUCCACUGGGUUCACUACUCCCAGGCCUUUUCCAUGGGCCUCCUUUUCCAGCAAGCCCCCGUCUUUCCCUGCCCCUGCACUUGGACAUGAUCACCGGCUGCCCAUGGCCCGUUGGUAGGCAGUGCGGGCGGAGGGAGCGUGGGCGGGUUGUCCCGCGCUUGGAGAGUCUGCUUCCUUACCCUGCAGUUCCAGGAGCUUUCCCACCCUCCUGCUGCUCCCCUCAUACUCCUGGAGCCUCCAGGGCUUCAGGGGCUGUCCUGUGUGCGUUAGUGUCAUUGUUGGGGCUUUUAUUUCCUGCCCUGCUGUUGGGAACCGGACUACAUGUGCUGCGUGAGUUCCCCUGAAUGUUCAGUUGCUGCCACUCGGCCAUGGCAUGUUCCCAUGGGCCUGGCCUUGACACCCUUUUCUGCCCACCACUGGUGAAUGGCACGCUGAUUAGCGCUGGCCACCCUGCCGCAGGCCAUCCGCCGUCUCCCUCUUUAGAGUUAACUACUGUUCUUUUUAUGAGGAAACGGCGUGUCUAUUCAGGAAAUGAUCACUGCCAGCAUCUGCAGAGUGCUUACUGUCUGGCGGCUUCUGUGCUGAGCCCUUUUCUGCUGCCUGCCAUGCGCUGUAUGAGCAGGGGCAAGGCAGGUGCUCAUUCUCAGCUUCUUGUCCGAUGCAGAUGAGUCCACGGUGUGCAGAGGCCGUCGUGGAAGUUGUGGUGUCAGGAGCGCUGUAGACCGCAGUGUCCUUGAGUGUUCAUUCUGACUCUUCUCUGGGAGCAUUGAGAUUCCUUUUUGAGCCAAGUUUGGUGUGGAAAAAAACACUGCAGCUCAUCUCUGACUAAUUGGGGACGCUUUCAUGGAUGUCACCUUAAAGAAAGAUGAGGGGUGCUGCUUUGGAAGAAGCCUCGGGGGUCAGAACCACUCGCCCUCUCAAGGUAUUUAGGGGCUGACCGCGGACACUGGCGUAGCAGCGUGAAGCAGGAUGUUGUCGCAUGACCAUCGCCAAACCUUUCUCUUCUGUUGCCUCAGCACAGCGUGGAAGGACUCUGCCCUCUGUGUGAACAGGGCAGAGGGGACGUUCUGGGGCUCCAGGGACUUGGGAUUCAGAGCUGGAGACCUUCUACUGGCUCCCAGCAGGUGCCUCAGAACACUGCUGACCAGGAAGACUGUCUCUUCCCAUCUGGACCAGGUCAUCCCGUGGCUUCUGUGUCUCCCAUUUGCUCCUAGUAUAACUUUUUAGAACCAGGAGUUCCUGUUGGAGUCUUGUGUGCCAUGCAUCUUAUCUUCUCACCCACUUAAAUAAAUCUCGAAACUGC
Molecule: long non-coding RNA, 2760 nt
Filed under: Sus scrofa (pig)
Lineage: Eukaryota; Metazoa; Chordata; Mammalia; Artiodactyla; Suidae
Description: lncRNA (ENSSSCG00065012494.1)
Source: RNAcentral